This 1164-nucleotide long non-coding RNA is filed under the name Arabidopsis thaliana (thale cress). Its description in RNAcentral is "long non-coding RNA (ATHA_LNC000674)". Lineage: Eukaryota; Viridiplantae; Streptophyta; Magnoliopsida; Brassicales; Brassicaceae. The record is from RNAcentral.
ACCACAUGAUAUUUUCCUGUGCUUUGUCCUCAUUCACACGGUUCGGACAAUCACUUUCCAGAAAGUCACUCAUCCUGAAUUUGCUGCAUCCCAAACAUGCUUAGCUUUGAAGUUCUCUUCAACGUUUGAUCGAAAAGAUAAAUGCACUUUGGUGACAUAGAUUGCCAAAUCAAUUAUUUUAAGGGCUUAUUGUUAAAAUAGAAAUAAUUUUAUUAAAAACUCUGAUUUUAGGCACAUUGAGAGUGUGCUUCAAAAAAAGGGACUUUGGGCUUUGGAAUUUGACAAUUUUACCCCUUUCAUCUGAGCUUCUCUUUCCUCCUUCAUCUUCGCAGCUUCUUCUCCACAAUCCAACUUUUCUGCAAAAAAAAAAUCUGUUAUCCCAAAAAUCUUUUAUAGUUGCAAUUCCCCAUUGAUUCAAGAUUACUAAACCCUAAAGAUGAUACUAUACAGGGAACCCAAGUAAAAAAAUCAAGCAGACUUUAUACGUUUUAGAUGUGUACAUAGUGAACUGGUUCCUCUCGAUUGCGUUUACAGAAACUAAUCCCUAAGAGAACUAGUAAAUAUGGAACCUAAGGGGAAAAUCAAAUGAAUUGUUUGUAAUCCCUUUUGAUUACUUUGUAAUUGUUAAUUGUUUACAAAGUAAUCAAAAGGGAUUAAUUAGAAAUUGAGAAGCUUUAGGUGUUUUGUUGUCUGGAUUUCAAAAUUGAAAUCAUCUUGUGAAUGGAUUUUAAGGGAAACCCAAUCAGAAACUUAACCCUAAGGAUGUUGAAAGGGAACCCAAGAAAAAAAAUCAAACGAACAAUGGUAAAUGUUUCAGAUGCAAUCGUAAAUAUUUUUUUAAAAUUGAAUUAUUUAGCAAAGCAUAACAAUUCACCUCUAUUUGUAAUCGGGAAUAGCAAAUCCACUAUGAAACCCCAAUCUUCAUCUUCUAUAAGUGUGGCAAAGUAAUUUGGCUGUAUGUGAUAAGCUAUGAAUGCAAAUCUCACUUUUUUUUAAUUAAAAGAAAGGGAUUGAUACUGACGAAGUAGAUCAACGGAUAAGCUUAGGUUUUUUUAUGAAUCAGAGAAAUUCUUCGUCGGUGUUGAUGCGUAACAGAGGGAAGGCAAAAAUUGAACUAUGCAAUUAACUGGAAGUAGAGAUAGAAGACGAUGAAUAAAUUUGAAC